UACGAGAGGUGCAAGCGUUAUUCGGAAUUACUGGGCGUAAAGGGUGCGUAGACGGUUUUUUAAGUCUUUUGUUUAAGACCCCGGCCUAACUGGGGACCAGCAGGAGAUACUGAUAAACUAGAGGAUGGAAGAGAGAAGUGGAAUUCUCGGAGUAGCGGUUAAAUGCGUAGAUCUCGAGAGGAACACCGAUGGCGAAAGCAGCUUCUUGGUCCAUAUCUGACGUUGAGGCACGAAAGCGUGGGGAGCAAACAGGAUUAGAAACCCCUGUAGUCC
RNAcentral lists this ribosomal RNA (273 nucleotides) under uncultured prokaryote. Its description in RNAcentral is "partial 16S ribosomal RNA". It matches the Rfam family "Bacterial small subunit ribosomal RNA", at positions 524 to 796 of the family's 1533-position model. The record is from RNAcentral.